CUGCCGGCGACCGGCGCACGGGUGAGUAACACGUAUGGAACCUGCCCGCAGCAGGGGGAUAAGCGGAAGAAAUUCCGUCUAAUACCGCGUAACAACGUUGGGAGGCAUCUCCCGAUGUUUAAAGAUUUAUCGGCUGCGGAUGGCCAUGCGGCGCAUUAGCUAGUCGGCGGGGUAACGGCCCACCGAGGCGACGAUGCGUAGGGGUUCUGAGAGGAAGGUCCCCCACAUUGGAACUGAGACACGGUCCAAACUCCUACGGGAGGCAGCAG
This 269-nucleotide ribosomal RNA is filed under the name uncultured bacterium. RNAcentral describes it as "partial 16S ribosomal RNA". It matches the Rfam family "Bacterial small subunit ribosomal RNA", at positions 85 to 354 of the family's 1533-position model. The record is from RNAcentral.